RNAcentral lists this ribosomal RNA (941 nucleotides) under uncultured bacterium. RNAcentral's name for it is "bacterial SSU rRNA". It matches the Rfam family "Bacterial small subunit ribosomal RNA", at positions 375 to 1342 of the family's 1533-position model. The record is from RNAcentral.
GGGAAACCUGAUGCAGCAACGCCGCGUGAGUGAUGACGGCCUUCGGGUUGUAAAGCUCUGUCUUCAGGGACGAUAAUGACGGUACCUGAGGAGGAAGCCACGGCUAACUACGUGCCAGCAGCCGCGGUAAAACGUAGGUGGCAAGCGUUGUCCGGAAUUACUGGGUGUAAAGGGAGCGCAGGCGGACCGGCAAGUUGGAAGUGAAAACUAUGGGCUCAACCCAUAAACUGCUUUCAAAACUGCUGGCCUUGAGUAGUGCAGAGGUAGGCGGAAUUCCCGGUGUAGCGGUGGAAUGCGUAGAUAUCGGGAGGAACACCAGUGGCGAAGGCGGCCUACUGGGCACCAACUGACGCUGAGGCUCGAAAGUGUGGGUAGCAAACAGGAUUAGAUACCCUGGUAGUCCACACCGUAAACGAUGAUUACUAGGUGUUGGAGGAUUGACCCCUUCAGUGCCGCAGUUAACACAAUAAGUAAUCCACCUGGGGAGUACGACCGCAAGGUUGAAACUCAAAGGAAUUGACGGGGGCCCGCACAAGCAGUGGAGUAUGUGGUUUAAUUCGAUGCAACGCGAAGAACCUUACCAGGUCUUGACAUCCGAUGCAUAGCACAGAGAUGUGUGAAGUCCUUCGGGACAUCGAGACAGGUGGUGCAUGGUUGUCGUCAGCUCGUGUCGUGAGAUGUUGGGUUAAGUCCCGCAACGAGCGCAACCCUUAUGGUCAGUUACUACGCAAGAGGACUCUGGCCAGACUGCCGUUGACAAAACGGAGGAAGGUGGGGAUGACGUCAAAUCAUCAUGCCCUUUAUGACUUGGGCUACACACGUACUACAAUGGCGUUAAACAAAGAGAAGCAAGACCGCGAGGUGGAGCAAAACUCAGAAACAACGUCCCAGUUCGGACUGCAGGCUGCAACUCGCCAGCACGAAGUCGGAAUGCUAGUAAU